Molecule: non-coding RNA, 27 nt
Filed under: Mus musculus (house mouse)
Lineage: Eukaryota; Metazoa; Chordata; Mammalia; Rodentia; Muridae
Source: RNAcentral
UGAAAGGUUAUGGGCCCUUGAUCUAAC